CGCGGGGCGCCGCAGCCUAGUGGCCACGUACCUGUGCGGCUCCCGGGCGCUGGGCCAGGGCGCCUCCGCCCACGCCGACUCUGGGGGAACCGAGAACACGCUGACAGCGACCCCCAGGGAACUCUGCACCCUUGAAGCGACCCUUUUAGCCCAUUCAGCGCCCAGAGAGGCUGUCCUGAUGCACAGGUUCACUGCCCUCCGAGGGGUCCCUCUUUUCAGGGGAAAGUAUUUAUUGCCGGGGGGAGGGGGGGGCGGGGGGGGAGGCACAGCCACUUCAACCCACAUGGUGGCUCAUCUGGACACUUGGUGUGCUGCUGUGGGGUGCAGAAGAGAGAAGGAACCUGUAGUGUUCCUGUAGACUCUGUUUUCUUAGAUAAUCCCCAGGGGAAAGCAAAGGGGAAAGUAGGAGAUCCAGCAGGCGUCGUGGUACGUGGGUCGAGAAUGGGUGGGUGAGUGAGAAAUGCUCAGGAAGAGGAAAGGACGGGUCGCCAAGAUUUGCAGACACUUCCUUUGUGCCCAGCACAUUUUGGGGGUGCCUGGUGUUUUAUCUCAUUCAGUCCCCUUGGCAAUUCUUUGAGGUAGGUGGAUACCCUAAACCCAUUUUUCUCAUGAGCAUUGGAGGCUCACAGAGAAAAAAGUACUUGCCCAAGUCACCAGCAGGAUGUGGGCAGUCAUAUUCUUCUGGUAUUGGUCAUAAUAAAUUACUCACAGUUCGGGUGACAGUAGAGACACAUGGAGACAAAGCAGACCAGGACCCAGGUUCAAGGUGGAAGCCUCAGACCUUCCGGCUGGCCCCUUCAGCCAAAUGAGCCUGGCAGAAACCAAAGGCUGGGGGCUGGGUUGGGAGGGACACACACAUACCAUUCCCUGUCCUUGCCAUGACAGACACUCCACACCUGGGCAUGGAUCAGUGUCCUCCUGGGAAGGGGAGAGUGGUGGAACUCGAAGUUAAAAUUUUUGAGUUGGACCUUUGAACGCUGUAAAAAUCCUCAAAAAUCACUUUUGCAAAAGUUAAUCAUUUGCUUUCUCCACAGGCCAGAUAACCUUUGCAACAUGGUUGGGGUUUUAUUUGCUUUUCUUGAAAGUCCUGAAGUUUGUAUUUGGUACAAUGUGCUGUAGGUGAGGAAGAAAGGAAUUCAGGGUCUAGUAAAGGGCUUGGUUUUCUUCCUGCCCUCUAUGUCCCAGGAGUUCAAUAACAUUUUCUUGGUGAAAGGUUAUGAAUUGAGGACUGAAGAAAAGUCUGUCUUCUUCAGCUGUGAGGAGACCCUAGCAGAAAAUGGCAUUCCAAAAACAAAACAAAAAUAAAAUAAAACCCAAUCCACCACCAUCUUAUACCUGAUUCCUUAGGAUCCUGCUCACAUCUGGGUGGCAGCCAAAGUCUACAAACAGAAAGGAUUAUCACCGUUUCCUUAGUACAGUGCAUUAAUCAACUUUAGACUUAAGAGAGAUGCAAAUCAGGAACUUUUUCAUUAAAAUAGAAAAUAUUAUAAAAAUACUAAAAUUUCAAUCACUUAAAAGUUAACUGAGGGCUAGUGGCAGCUCAGUGGUAGAACACUUGCCUAGCAAGAGCCUGAUUUUCCUCCCUAGCAUGUGAACGCAAGUGCACACAUAGUUAAAAUAAAAAAAUAAAAAUCAAAAGUUAACUGACCUCCUAUAAGAAUUAUGGAGGACACAUUGGCUGUGUGAACUUAUGCAAGUCAAUAGACUUCCUUAGGCUUCAGAUUCCCCCUCUGUUAGGAGGUGAGCUCACAGCCCCUUCUGAGAUUAAUGCUCUUCAUCCUAUAAUCUUGCAGGCUACCAUAAAAGGCUUCCCUAGCACUGUUCCAAUGACCGUUUUUAGUUUUGUUUUUCUUUUGGUACCAGGGCUUGAACUCAGGGGCACUCGACCACUGAGCCAUAUCCCCAGCCCUAUUUUGUAUUUUAUUUAGAGACAGGGUCUCACUGAGUUGCUUAGCAUCUUUACUGAGGCUGAUUUUGAGCUAGAGAUCUCCUGCCUUUGCCUCCCAAGCUGCUGGGAUUACAGGUGUGCGCCACCAAGCCCAACCCAAUGACUGUUUUUGAUUCAGUGAUCAGAUGGGCUAGCUGGACCACACCCAUCUUUCUGACCUUCUGACAACUGGCUGGACAUUUUCAUUAGACAUCUAUCUCAUGGGACACUCAAACAUGAGAUGCACCAACGGAACGUGUCAUCCCUCCCUUCUCUGACUUCUCCAGGCACUUGACCUGGGAACCUCAAUAUCAUCCUUGAGGUCCUUCAGCCUCCAUGUUGAGGGGGUUUUCUGAGACCUGAAUGUUCUCUCUGUGAAGUGCCCUUCUUCCUCCUAGCCCCAGUACUUCUACCCUUAUCACCUCUUCUCUGGCUCCUGCUGUCACCUGCCCCCACCAGUCAUUCCCCUCUACGGCAUAUGAAGUGUCACUCUCAGAUCCAUCACACUGAUCCAAAGCUCUGGCCAGCCUCUCCUCUGUGACACGAACUCAAAUGGUUUCCUGUUGCCAACUGAAUAAAUGCCACUUGGGGUCUUCCAUGAAGUAGCCCCAACCUGACUUCCCUUCCUCAUACUCCUCACAGUUCUGCCAAACACAAUCUCUGCUUUUCUUUUCUUUCUUUUUUUUUGUACCAGGGAUUGAACCCAGGGGUGCUUCACCAAUGAGCCACAACCCAGCCCUUUUAAUUUUUUUUUUUUAAAUUUUGAGACAGGGUCUUGUCAAGGUGCUUAGGGCCUCACUAAUUGCUGAGGCUGGCUUUAACCCUCCUGCCUCAGCCUGCAGAGCUACUGGGAGUACAGAGGUGAGCCACCUCACCCAGCAUGGCACACAGCCCUGUUUUUCUUAUCUGUCUGCUCACUCAUCACAUUCUGUCUAGAACAAGUGCAGCUCCCAUACCUGCCUGUAAAACCUCCACUUCCCAAUGAAGGCCCAGCCCAAAGUCUCCUUUUCCUUGAAACUUUCUAGGAGGCCCAUACUUUCAUGUGUUUAUUCAGCCAACAGAUAUGUAUUAAGCAUCAGCUCUGUGCCAGAUUUUGUUCCAUGUAUGGAAAUUCAGUGGCAACUAAGAGGGAUGAGUUCCUAAUCACAGGGAGCUUGUUGUUGCUGGGUGACAGAACCUAAACCAACAAACAAAUAAGAAAACAAUAGAUUCCAAGAGUGCAGGGGAGGAGUGCUUGGAUUUGUUGGCCUUUGUGACAGUCUACUUGUAAUUUGCCUUUUUGUGAUCAAAUACUAUCUUGCAAACCCAAGUCUCAUUUACCUUUGUAACUUCCACACUGCCUGACAUCAUCACAUCUGCCAUCUGUGCAGUGGUCCUCGGUGUGUAUCUGUGGAAGGGCACAAACCCUGGAUUUGUCUCUGCCCCACCACAUAUCUGUUAAGAGGUUUUAAACAGGUUCCUUGAUUUCUCCAAGGCUUAAGGUCCUUGUGUGUAAAAUGGGGACCAUAAAGCCUGCCUUGCUGACUUGGAAAACCAAAUGAGAUCGGGUGUGAGAAGUUACUUAGUAAACUAUAAAAUGAAGCAUCCCAUAAUCAUAAUCAUUAAGCCAUGAUUACCCUGGGUCUUGGUACUGGCUUCCUUUGGAUAAUAAAGUAGGCUAUCUGCUCCAAAUACAGAAACCCUUUGGAUAGGAGUAUAUUUAGAAAUGUAAUUUCUAAGUCUAACUUUCUGGGUUCUUAAGGAAGAAAGAAUUCUGGGCUCAGGAUAAUCUCAAACUGCCUGAGAAGCAACUGGGUUUUUUUUUUUUACUCUCUCCUAAAAUAUGUCCUCCCAGGGAUGUGCCUCUUCUAUUAAGGUUUGCUGCUGCAAACCCAUGAGACAUGCAAUUAAAAGCAUGCUCCUCUGCUUGGUGCUCUCAGAAAAUAUGACAUUAGAUGAAGUCCUCUCCUGCUCUUGGCUAUGAUUCUCAGUGUCAGUGUGUGAACGUAUUCUGCCACUCACCAACCACAGAGGGCAAAGAACCUGAAAAUUUCUCUUCUCUUCCCACAUGGUCUCAGACUCCGUUUUCCAUCUUCUUAGCUUUCCAGAAUCCACUCAUUACUGCAGGCCUAUUCCUGCAGCGUUGGAAUGGCUGUGAAUGGCUCUGCCUUGGGAUGUAUCAGCCAGAAUGAAGCCGCAUGGAGCACAGUGUCCAAGAUGUUGGGUCACUGGGAAAAAAAUGUACCCCCUGCUCAUUCAAAGUUUCUGAAUAGGUUCCAAAGUUUUGACAAAAACUUUUUUUUUCCAGUAUCUUCAGUGUUAUUUUAUAAUUAAGUUCCCUAAAAAUGGUUCCUGGUCAUGGAGAUCUAUUUCUCUGAAAACAUUGCUUGGACAAAUAUCCUUUGGGGUAUUUGAUAAAUAUUAAUUGAAUUGAAAGAAGAGAGAUAUCCGAAUAUGCAAUCGUGUUGGUAGCACAUUCCUCCAUCCCACUUCUUCCCACCACCUCAAUUAAUCAGGACUUCAGGGAGUAUGUUUCCAAUUUCUUACUCUCUCUAGUGAGACUUGGAGUCUGUGGCCUUGGAAAACUUUUCUCCUGUGUUUUCUGUCUUGAGGACUCAGGAUUUCACUUCCAACACCACCUGGAGAGACACAUGCAGAGCUAGGGGACAGGUCAUAGAAGCCUCUGCUGACAGGGCCCUUCUCUGAGGGCUCGGGCCUGUGGUUCAGCUCUGCAUAUGAAUACUUCUCUGAGUCUCAGUCUCCCCAUCUCCCACAUACCCACGUUUCACAUACCUUCAAUCUAGAAAAUUGGGCCAUAAUGAAAUAAAUAACCUGAGUAGUUUUAUAAUAAUUAGAAAUUUGAAUUCAUAGCUAAAAACCCUUUGAAAAACUAUAAGGGAAAAAAUUCACUUGAGUGAAGUAAAUUAUAUGAAAGUGCUGGUUACUAUCAUCUCAGCGAUAACACAUCACAUGCAAAAUAUAAAUUUUUGACCCUAACUUAAAAUUAUCAUACAAUAAAAUUGGAUUAUGUGUGCAUUUGUGUGUAUGAUUCUAUGAAUCGCAGUACAUGUAUAGAUUUGUGUAACCAUUACAGCAAUGAGAAUGCAGGAGGUCCAUUGCUCUGUUCAUUUACCAAAGGACAAUUUAGUCAUAGUGUAUUAUUAUUUUAAUAUAUUGCUGGAUUCAAUUUGCCUUUGUGUGUGGGGUAACAGACUUAAUAUGAGACCUAUCCUUUUAACAAAAUUUUAACUAUAUACUACAGCACUGUUAAUUGUGGAUAUUAUGUUGUCCAGAACUUAUUCAUCUUACAUAAUUGAACUAUAUACCUGUUGACUAGCAAUGAACCCUUUCCUUUGAGAGAUAUUUUUCCGAAAUUAUUUCCCUUGUGCUAUCUUUGUCUGGUUUUGGUAGAAGGUAGUUCUGGCCUCAUACAAUAAGCUGAGAAGUACUACUCCUCGUCUAUGUUCUGGGAGGAUUGGUGUUAUUAUUAUUUUUUUUAAUGUUUGAUAGAAGUUAUCAGUGAGACCAUCUGGAUGUAGAGAUGUUUUUUCAAAGGGUUUUUAAUUACGAAUUCUGUUUUUUAAUCAUUGCAAAUCUACUCAGAUUAGCUAUUUCAUUGUGGCUGAAUUUCUAGAUUGAAGUUUUCAGGAAAUUGCUGUGUUUCAUCUAAGAUAUCAGAUUUGUGUGUGUGAAGCUGUUCAUAAUGUUGUUAUCUUUUUAAUGUCUGUAGGACCUCUAGUAGUGUACCUUUCAUUUCUGAGAGUGAUAAUUUGUGUCUUCUCUCCUUUUUAAACUAAUGUUUUUAAAUUUCUUUAUCUUUUCAAAGAAACAUCUUCUGUUUUUAAUUUUAUUGAUCUUUUCAAAGAACUUUCAGUUUCAUUGGUUUUUCUCUAUUGUUUUUCUGUUUUCAUUCUCAUCAAUAUCUGCACUUAAUGUAUUAUUUCCUCCUCCUGCUUGUUUUGGAUUGAUUUUGCUCUUCCUGCUCUAGUUGUAUAAAAUGAAAGCUUAGAUGAUUGACUUGACACCUUUCUUCUUUUAUAAUACAAGCAUUUAUUCCUAUAAAUUUUCUCUCAAAGCUUUGCCUUUGGUACAUCCUAUAAAUCUUGAUAUGCUAUAUUUUUAUUUAUAUUCAGUUAAAAAUAUUUUCUACUUUCUUUCAAGACUUCCUCUCCGACAAGAAAUCACUGAUACAUGUUUUGUUGAAUCUCCAAGUGUUUUGAGAUUUCCACACAUAUAUUUUUAGAACCAGUAAACCUAAAAGCUACAGAAAUGUAAAGAAGCUAUUAUUUUAAAAACUAAGUAAUUUACUGAGCACCUACUGUGUUCAAAUCACGAGCCAGGCUGCUUGAGAUUCAAUUCCAGCCCCCAAGGAGUUGACCAUCUAAGACAGAGAUGGAGACACCCACACAGACAAGUGGGAGGCUCCGUGGUGGGUGGGACAUGUGCUGCCAUGUUAUGGAUACAGAGCAGCACUGCAAUAGGGGCCUCUUCCAGUGGAGUGGUCAAGGUCAAGGGGUGAAGUAGGCCUUAGAUAGGUAGGACCUCUGUAAGGAAGGCCUUAGGGGAGGGAAGUCCAUUCUAGUGAGGGAAGCUUUGCCUGGCCUCCUCUGGCUCCCAAUGUCACUUGGUACAUUGGUCUGCCCAACUCACACACAUCUGGAGAGUGAACUAACCAGACUCUUAGACUGAGGCUCUUCCAGAAGUUAAAGGCAGCACCUCAACCCUUCAGGAAAGCAGGAUUUACAUGAUUUUCUGGACCAGCAAAGGUGAAGGUAGAGAGGGAUGACAAAGAUCAAGCUGAUAUUGAAAAAGCACUCUACUUCUUUCACAUUUUACAACCUCACAGACUUAGUCUGUCUUUCUGCUUUGUCAAAAGUUGACCUAAGCCACUGGAAGUCAAGGACUCACCACAGUAAAGUGACUUGUUUUUGGACCCUGGAGCAUGCUGCCCUGUCCUAAGAGUGAACCAAAUCAGCUUUUGAGUUUCAACCUCUUUAUUGGUUUUCUCUUGCUGUAACAAGAUAAAUGAAAGUGGGCAGCUUUUUUUUUUGAAAGAGGCUUAUUUAGCCCAGAUUUGAAGACUGAAAGUCUAAGAUCAGGUGGCCCCAUCUGUUCAUCCUUUGGUGAGGGCCAUUUUGGCCAAUGGCCAUGAGGUUGGGAGCACAUGGGAGUGGAUGAGGUCACUGGUGGUCCCAAGAAGUUCAGUGGCCAGGCUUGCUCGUUUUAUGACAACUUGCUUUUGCAGGAACUAAGGAACUAACCAUGUUCCCACAGGAACUUUAGCAAUUCCUUCCAAGGGAAAUGAUCUCAAAGACCUAAUCACCUUCCACUAGAUCCCACUUCUGAAAGGUUCCACCACUGUUCAACAUAUCCAAGCUUCCAUGACACAAAACUGUGAGGGACAUGCCACAAACCACCUGAAAACCAUAGCAGGCUCUCUGGUCUGUGUAGGCCGGAGAAAGGCCAGGGUCAAUGUAGCUAAAGGAACGAAGAUGGCAAGCAGCAAGAGAGAAAGAAUUAGCUUCAGCUGAGAGGGCUUUGGCUCCCUACAGAAGGAAACAGAGAGGGAAAUGUGAGGUGACAGUAAAUCCUAUCCCUUGAGAUACAUGAUUGAUCUACCAACAAGAGAGAGAAUUAACAAAUCAAAAGUUCUUACAACCAAGUCUUUCACCCUUCACGAAGAUUCCAGCCAUAUUUCACCUUCUUUCCCUUUUUCUUUUUUUUUUUUUUCAAAAACUGACUUGUGGGAUCUGCUUUUGUUAUUUAGGAAGAGUGGAUUAAGAGCCAUGCUCCUAAACUUUUGUAAUUUACAUUUUUUCCCUUCAGUUUAUUUUGCACUUGCAUAUUUUGUUUUUUAACUGAAGGAGGACUGUGCAUAUGUUGGUGAUUUGACAGGAAAAAUAUUUGUUUUAAAGAGCCUUCUAGCAAAGAUUCAAAUGACUAGCUUGAACAGAAUUUUUUUUUUAAUUUUAAAGAACAUGAUUUAUUUCUCAUUAAAUUUCCUUGAGCUAGUUACUUAAACUCUCUUAGUUUUCUUAUCUGAAAAAUGGAUAACAACACCUACGUUGUGGACUUGCCCUGAUGUGGGAAAGACAACAAUCCCAAGGCCACCUCCGAUAGCGGGGAGAAUGUAGUCACUGAUGUGGACGUGAACUGCCUGAAUAAAUCCCCCCAGUGCUUUAUGAAAUUCUAUCAUGGAACUUCCAAGUCAUUCUAUGAAUUCCAAACUAAUCCUUCUACCUUAGCAUCUGGACCCAACAUGAAAGGUCGAUAUGACCUGUUUUCUCAUGCAAAUAACUACUUUGUUCUAAAGAGGAAGAAUUCUAAAGCACAAGGAAAUUUUAUGAAGAGUCAGAUCUUGAUUUAUGUGAAAACAAAAUAUCCGAAGGGAUUUUGUAUUUUUUAUGAUGCUUUUUAGCUCAGAAAGGACAUCUACAUGUUUCAUCUCUUCUGGAUUACCAAAAUCACCCCAGGGGGGGAAAAAAGCUAGAAAGGGAUUGACCAUUUUGGUUCUACAAAUAGGGUAUUAAAGACUGUAAGAGGGUAAAGAAUUCACUCAUGUCUAUUAAAGGCCUGAAGAAGUCUCAGGCUCAGUCUCUUGUGUUCAAAUCUAAAACUAAGGUCUCUUCGGCUUGGGGAACUAUAGUUAAAGCUAUUCAAAAGGAUGACUUAACCUUUUAUUUUAUGUGUACCCUUUUAGGUUUUCCCUUAUGCAAAGUGCCUACUAGAACUUAAAAAAGGGUUUAGAUUACUAUUUUAUUAGUUUUCAUGUUGAGGGUAUUACUUAUCUUACUAAAGUACCUACAGGCGACUAAAGUGCAGAUAUAUAAUGAUGUUGAAUGGAAAGAGAAAGAGGAGGUCCAGGGGGCUGCCCUGAGUUAUUGGACAGAAUGCCACUAUCAUCUGGGUACCUCCUCCCCUCAAAAAAAAAAUGUUAGAAUAUAAUACCUAUUAUAAUAGUAUUGAGAGGUGGGGACAGCCAGGUGUGGUUCAAGGCCAGCUGCAAUUUAGCAAGGCCCUCGGCAACUUAGAGAGAGCCUAUCUUGAAAUUAAUAAAAUACAAUAUGAAACCUGACAACAUGAAUCUCUGAGCUCCUACUCAUCCUGGGACAGGUCUGUCAGAUAUGGCUCUGGCCUAUUCAAGACAGACAGAUGCUGAUUCAUUCAUAGGGAGCCCUGUUUCAGUUCUGAGCCUUCGGGUAAUCUUCCAGUCCCUCCCCUCUGACUCUUUAGGGCUAGCUCUGCCCAGGGCAGCCCUCAGAAGAUGUAGUAAGCCACAGCCAACUCUGAGACACCGCCCCCUGCCAGGCCUCAGCAGCCCAGUGGGCAAGAUUCAGGUACAUGGAAGUCUAUGUGGGGCUCUGAGCCUGGGAUCCCAGGAAGAACCAAAAAGGGUCCUUACCUCCAGGGUCCAGGCCUGUGAUCUCAUUUCUCUUUCUCAGCACUGCUAGAAAAAUUGGAUCUGAGAAGGAAUUGAUUCUCCAGUGUCUUUUCUAUGGGGAAAUUUGCAGGGCAGGUAUAUUGCUGAAUCUUUAACACCCCUGGCUAGGGGACACUGAGUGUUGCUAAGCUCCCCCUAGUGCUCAUGACAACUGAAAUCAUCCGCCCACCCUGGACCUCCUCCAUUUUGAAAUGCCUGUGUGACCCUCACGUGAAAAUCACUAAAUUAAGAGUUUUUUGUUGUUGUUGUUGUUGUUGUUUAGAAAUAUAUUACCCAAUGACAGUGGAGACAGUAUACUGAACUUCAGGUCCACAGCUGGUUUUCUUAGCACUCUUAGAAUGGUCCCCACAUUUUUAAAGUGGGAGUCGGAAGGGGAAGAAGGAGAAAAAGAGAGCCCUACCUGUGGUCUACACAGUCUAAAGACGUCUCCUCUGCUCUUCACAGGAAAAGUUCACACUCAACAAGGAACGACUAAGUUCCAACCACACUGCCAGGAGCUAGGGUUCCAUAACAGGUAAGACGACCCUCUGACCUAAGGAGGCCAUAAUCAUGUUGGAGAAAAUAGACACUCUAGUCAUUGGUCACGAGCAUAGAAGCAUAAAAGGGGGGCACCCACCUCUGCCUUGGGGACUUAGGAUAAACAGAUCAGGGGAACCUUGCAAGGCGAGGUCACAGGCAAAAUGAAUCUGUAAAGAUAAAAAGGCAUUAGCCAGGAGAAGGGUUAGUGAAGCUGGGGAGAUGAUGAGGUAGGAAAAGUAGGCCAGAGAGGGAGGGAGGGAGAGAGAGAGAGAGAGAGAGAGAGAGGAGGUGCAGAGGCUAUUAGGGGAACACAACAGUGUCAAGAACUAAAGCUAGAGAGGCGGCAGAGGCCAGUGCCACAAGAUUUGUGUCUGUCAGAUGUUGGACUUUAUAUCCAGGUUCAAAUGCUUAUCCUACCACUUUAGAGCUGUGCUGCCUUAAGAAAAGUAGGUAGCCUUUCUGGGCCUACAAUUUGCCUCAGUAGAUGUUGGUUAUUGUUUAUUGUCUAUGCUCCUAUUAUACUCUAAGCAACGGGAAGGUGUUGGAAAGCUGUGAGCACCUACUGUGUGCAUGUCUCUGCAUUCAACACUGGGAAGACCGGUCUUACUUAUCUUAUGACAUGUGUAUGUGGCCCAGACCUUGCAGGAGCACAGGUAGAGAGUGUGACUUUGGGGUUUCCAGGUGUGACAGUGUUCGGGAAAUGGUGAAUAGCCCAGUCACCCUUUGCUGAAGGUGUGUAGAAGUCAGCCCUGGAGCACAGAGAUUUGAGAGCCUAGGAAGGCAGGAGCUCAGCAUUUAGUGGCAUCAUGAAGCCUUCAUGUUGGGAGCCAUGUGCAUCCCUGUUUCUUCUAAAUGGAGACUAUUAAAUGCGGCCUAACCGUGGAGAAUGGAUCAAGUCUUCUCAUCAGACUCUUGAUCCGGGGCAGCUUUACUUUGCCGCAGUGGCCCUAUCAAGCCAUCAAUUCUCUGAAAUCUCCUAGGACACAUACAGUCCUUCACUGGGUGGCUCCUUCACAUGCAGGAGACAGUCUCUCUCCCAGUGUGAUCCCACAGCAGAAGCCAUUCUGGAAACAAUCCACCAAGCAGCAAUGGCUUGUUUUGGACAGAAGAGGAGUCAUUCCCUGCUCUCCCCUGUGAGUUCUCCCUCUAGUUGCUCUGCCACCACACAUGGGACUUUCUCAGGCACAGAGGCUGCGAAGGAGGCAGGAACAUCAGCACCAAUUUGGAGAAGAGAGGCCUGCAGCUUCCCCUCCCCGUCUCUCCUGUGGCCAGAGCAAUGAAGAGGGAUCUCUUUUUUCUGUGGAGCUCCACCAAGCUGGCUUCUAAGCAGGGAGGGGGACUCCCGAGUGGAUGACCUCUCUGCAUGGGUCACAGGAGAACUGAGGACAGAGCUCUGUGGCUGAGUAUGGCGGCUCUGCAUGACGCCCUUGGCCUGGGUUCUGCCUUCCCCACCGCAGGGGCAGCCUGGAGUUGGCUGCUGGCAGCCUCAGCAACCCAGACCAGCGCCUACGAAGCUGGGCACUGAAUAUGCAAUCUCUAAGUGCUCUGGACUCCUUCAACAGCGAGGACAUUAUCUUUGAUAUUAUUAUAUAGUAAUGAGAAAAUGUUCCUGCGGGCUGCGGCUUUCUGGCAGAGCACACUGUGCCCUGUGAGGAAAUACGGUUACAGGAAUUAUGCUCUUAUUUAUCUUGCCUCCAGAAUAUCCAAGUUGACAGCCCAGACACGGGUCUGUGGUCAUUUCCAGAUCAUCCACCUGCUCCUGCCCCUCCCCCUGCGUCUCCUGCCUGUGGGCCUCCUGCUCUCACCUGUCUUCCUUCCACCUUGGUGCUUAUGACACACAACUGCUUCAGCACUUUGCUCAGAUUCUGUCAUUCAAUUCUCCUGAUAGCCCAGGAGUUAAGUCGAAUACUGCUCUUAUCUUACACUACACGUGAGGAAACUGAGGCCUGGCGAGGUUAAGGGACUAGCAAGUGGCAGAGCAUGCAUUUGACCCCAGGUGAUCUGGCUCCAUAACAGGGCUUUAAACCUCACACUGUGCAGCCUCCAGGUCUGGUGAUUUUCUGUGUGGUUCUAGGUACAGAACGAACUCUGGGCACUGUGAUACUUGGCAUCCAAAGCUGGGACACCAUGGAACCAAGAAGUACUGAUGACUAGCACCAGCCAUAUGAGAAGAGGAGCCCCUAUGGAAGCUUCAACUCAUCCAGAGUGAACAAUGUGGUCCUUUCCCCAGGGCGUUCCCAGAGUGUCUCCAGCAAUCCCACAGCUUGGGCGUGUGCAAUCCCACAGGCAGCCCAGCACUUCCAGAGCAAUUCCUGGGAUUCUCAGAGCUUCCCACAACCAGCCUCAGUUUGAGCAGCUGACCUCCGAAUGACCAGCUGCUGGACACCUGGGCUCCAGGCCAGCUCUCUGGGCAUGGUCAUCAAUGGGCCAUAGGGACCCUCUUCAGGAACACUAGCCAACGCGUGCGGGAGUCUGCCAUGGUGCAUAUCUGGGUGUGGACUUGCAUGCCAAUAUAAGGGGACAACUAUGUAUCUCACCAGGGUCCCUCUCACCAGGUUGUCAUGUGGUGUCUUCACUGUUGCCCACUAGAGUGUGCGUAGGUGCACUGUCUAAAUAUGUGCAUGUGUUAAGAAGGGCACAGAGUGUGUUAAAGUAUCUGUGUGCACACUCUGGUAGGGGUUGGGCUGAGAUAUUUGGCUGUGUUUCUGUGUGUGCCUAUGGGUAUUCUCUCUUGUGAUUCUCAACUCAGUUGCAGAUGACAGCUGCCUUCACAUUGUCCCUUCUGUUUUCAGACCCCAGCAAUGUUCUGAGGUGAUAUGGGCCCUACCUUGCAAAGACAGGCAGCUUGAUUUUGUCCCUAUAGGGUAUGAACCCUUCCAGCUCUCCCUGUCCUCCCACUGGUUUCUGCUCUCCCCUCAUGCUCUGUCCUAGCCCUGCUGACACCCCACUGGACACAUCAGAAAGGAGCUGGAAACCAUCUGGUUGAAACAUAGUUCCUGAGCUAUGAAAGCACAGUGCCCAGGAUCCCCUGGGGCCAUGGCAAGGCUGUAUCCAAGAACUUCUGUGCCCCAUACCUCCAUCUCCUGGCCUGAGCCUGUCUUCCCACCCUGGAUAGGCACAAUCCAUGGGUGAGGGUCCUUCUUUCCCUAGUCAUUCUGUCUCUGGGUGGUUCCCAGUGGAAGUAGCAUUACUCUGGGACAUGGCCAAUUGCCUCUGAAAUUUCAAUCAUAGCCUCUACAUUGCCCUACAAAGCUGGGGACACUGGGGACAAAGGGGGCCAUUAAACAUGUGUAUAUUUUCAGUUAGCUGGAGAGCAGGACACGAAGCUGCUGGUGGGCCCUCAGGAGAGGAAACGUAUUCAAAGAGGCAGAUGCUGGCCAUGGAUUCUGCAUCUUGGCAGGGACAGCAGCUCUUGGCACUUGCUCUAGAAGGCCUGACGCACUGUCUGUCCCACUGCAGCGGUUCUCCUUGCAUAUGACCUCAUGUUCCUCAGCUCCAGUGCCCAGGUCCAGGUCUCCCCAGUGUGUGGCAGCCCUCAGUGCUGCUCCUUGGCCAGGAGGGCCCAGGCAGGCCUCCAGGUGGGGAUUUUCUUAUGAUGGGGAAAAUAAUCAGAAAGCUCUAUGAUGUUGGGCAAAUUGCUUAAGCCCUUUGUGCCUGGGUUUGUUAACCUAUAAAAUGGGGAACAAUAUAUACCUCACAGGGUGUGGUAAGACUUAAACAAGUCACUCUGUCCUUAACAUAUACUGAGAGAUACAUCGGGCACUAUCUGCAAUGUAUGUAGGAAGCACUUCAUAAUUGUUUAUUAUAAGACUACCCCACAGCCCAUCUGACUUUCUCCCUGGGUCUGCUGGAAGGGGAAAGGAGAGAGACUUCUUUUGCAGGGUUUAAGAUUGGAAGCAGGCAGGGAUAAUGCCCUUUCACACUUAGAAAGGACCCCCAUUAUCCUGGCAUUACUGGGGAUACCCAGGGUACCUGGGGGAUGCAGCCCUGUGUAGGCAGGUGAGGAUAUCAGCAGGACAAAACUUCCCACCCAGGACAGGAAGCCUGCCUCGCCCUGCUCCUGUCUUCUCUGGUCUUUAUUAAAGGUCAGCAAGAGCAGAGAGACCCCCUAGAAUUUGUCUCUGUUGACAAGGCCAGCAGACAUAGGCUCUAAAAAUAAACCUUAAUAAGAUUUUAAGUAAACACUUUUUCAACAACAAUUCAGAUCACGGUUCUUUUUCUCUCCUACCGAGCAGUGUGACCUAUAGUGAAGCCCACUGCACAGAGGAGAAAAUGUCAGAGGCUUCAGAGCCCUGGAAGACUCUCAAGGCCUGCUCUGCCUGUGGCCUGCCUUGCCAGAAGGAUCUUGAAGCGAGAGCUGCAAACCCACCCCAGGGGACACGGGAACUACUAUCUCCGCCCCCACCCCCACCCCCACCAUGGACUGUCUGCACCCAGAUUCCAGCAGGCAGAGGGUGUCCUGGCUUUGUUUUCAUUUCAACAUGGCCCUCUCAUAGGCAAGGUCUGGGGGCCACCAAUCUGUCAAGUUCACUGCGGGUGCAGGAUGCUGCGCAGCGCAGUGUGGGGCUUAAGAACGACUAGAAAGGGCUCCGGGAAUGGGGUCUCUG
This 14473-nucleotide long non-coding RNA is filed under the name Marmota monax (woodchuck). Lineage: Eukaryota; Metazoa; Chordata; Mammalia; Rodentia; Sciuridae. The record is from RNAcentral.